This 1962-nucleotide long non-coding RNA is filed under the name Equus asinus (donkey). RNAcentral's name for it is "lncRNA (ENSEASG00005030502.1)". Lineage: Eukaryota; Metazoa; Chordata; Mammalia; Perissodactyla; Equidae. The record is from RNAcentral.
UAAACUCUGACAUUUAUGGUCAACUGAUUUCCCACAAAGGCACCAAGAUAAUUUAAUGGAGAAAGAACAAUCUUUUCAACAAAUGGUAUUAGUACAACUGGAUUUCCACAUGCAAAACAAAUUUGGACUGUGACCCUGCCUCCUAUAUACAAAAAUUAACUCAAAAUGGAUCACACACCUAAAUGUAAGAGUUAAAACUAAAACUCUUAGGGGAAAUCAUAGGAGUACAUCUCCGUAAUCCUGGGUUAGGCGAUGAUUUUUAGAUAUGACACCAAAAGCACAAGCGAUAAAAAAAGAAGAUGAAAAAAUAAGUUGGGCUUUAGCAAAAUGAAAAACUUUUGUGCUUCAAAGGACAGAAUCAAGACAACCCUCACACUUGGCAAAAAUAUUUGCAAAUCGGGGCCGGCCCAGUGGCACAGUGGUUAAGUGCACUCAUUCCACUUCAGUGGCCCGGGGUUCGCUGGUUCAGAUCCCGGGUGCAGACAUGGAAACACUUGGCAAGCCAUGCUGUGGCAGGCGUCCCACAUAUAAAGUGGAGGAAGAUAGGCACCGCUGUUAGCUCAGGGCCAGUCUUCCUCAGCAAAAAGAGGAGGAUUGGCGGCAGAUGUUAGCUCAGGGCUAAUCUUCCAAAAAAAAAAAAAGGAGUGACUGCUAAUGGGUACGGGGUUUCUUUUGGAGAUGAUGAAAAUAUAAUUAGAUUAUAGUGAUGGUUGCACAGCUCUGUGAAUAUACUAAAAACCACUGGAUUGUGCACUUUAUUUUUUUGUUUUUAAUUUUUUUGGAUCCGAACCAGUGAAACCCUGGGCCACCGAAGCGUGUGAACUUAACCGCUCGGCCACCGGGCCGGCCCCCAUUUUCUUUUUUUUAAUCUAAUUUGCAGAACAUUCUGAAUCAGCACCAGCACGUCUUCCUCAUUCUUUUUUUUUUUUUUUUUAGCAAAUGCUUAUUUCAUCCCCUUGAUGUACCUUAAUUUCUGUAACCAGCCCCCUGCUGUCCUCCAAGAGCUCUCAGCCUGGUGGGAAAGAUGAGAAAAAAGACAGUGUGACAUGCCCAGAGUAAUCAGUGAAGCUCCUGCCCCAGCGUCCGUGAGCUCAGGCUCUGAAUGUGCUACCAACCCCUGGAUGCAGGUUCCUAACCUGCUGCCCCUGCCAGCAACCCCCCACCACUCUGGAUGAAUCCAGACCCCACAGAGAGGCUCCCUGAGCCUGACAGCGGACCUCCAGCCCAAUUCCCCUGACCUAUGUGUUCCCUAAGAUCCAGAAACGCUGGUAAAACAGGUCCUAGGAGGAGGAGAGUCUGACAAACCUCACCUGGAGCAAGAGGUCUCGGAGCUGCUUCCUGGAAAGGCUGAGAACCUUCUGAUCCUGGGAAUGAACGGGGGCAGGGUCUGCACCUCCUUCUGGAGCUGCUUGCUGAGCCGGGAACAAGGUAGGGGACUGCAGCUUGUGUCUGCAGCUGGGGGCAGGCGCGAGGGCAGGGCAAGCUCAUUGGACUCUCAUGUUCUUUCAGUCCAGGCUCUGGAUUGGCAAUCCUCCUCUGACCCCUUCCCUAUCUCUAAGCAGCUUCACACAGGCCUGACAAUCUGCAAAAAUCUACACCUGCCUCCAAAAAGACUAAGAAUACUUUCAGAAAGCACAGUCUUUCUAAAGGGCCCACCACUCCCCGCCAUCACACAGCCUCACUCAACCCCUCCCUGCGAGAAGGCAGCCUGAAGCUGAUAUGGGGGAAUAAUGGCAAGGACGCUGACUGGGGGUCAGAGCGCCUGGCUCUAGGCCCAGACCUGCUUCCUACUUGAUCUUGUCCAAGUCACUUCCUUUCUCUGACCCUCAGUUUCCUAGUAUGUAAAAUAAAGGUAACUCCUGUCCUCUUCUGCUGCUGCCACCCUUUAAAGAUCACAUGGAGAGCCCUUAACAUGCCCACUGGACCUGCCUCAUGGCCAGUCCAGGCUCACAUGGCCCAUCC